Molecule: ribosomal RNA, 252 nt
Filed under: uncultured bacterium
Lineage: Bacteria
Description: partial 16S ribosomal RNA
Rfam family: Bacterial small subunit ribosomal RNA
Source: RNAcentral
UACGUAGGGAGCGAGCGUUGUCCGGAAUUACUGGGUGUAAAGGGAGCGUAGGCGGGACUGCAAGUUGGGUGUCAAAUCUACCGGCUCAACCGGUAGCCGCACUCAAAACUGCAGUUCUUGAGUGAAGUAGAGGCAGGCGGAAUUCCUAGUGUAGCGGUGAAAUGCGUAGAUAUUAGGAGGAACACCAGUGGCGAAGGCGGCCUGCUGGGCUUUUACUGACGCUGAGGCCCGAAAGUGUGGGGAGCAAACAGG